ACCUGGCUGGCUCAGUCAGUAGAGCAUGUAACUCUUGAUCUCCUGGUAAUGAGUUCAAGCCCCAUGCUGGGUA
RNAcentral lists this transfer RNA (73 nucleotides) under Mustela putorius furo (domestic ferret). It matches the Rfam family "tRNA". Rfam says of the family: Transfer RNA (tRNA) molecules are approximately 80 nucleotides in length. Their secondary structure includes four short double-helical elements and three loops (D, anti-codon, and T loops). Lineage: Eukaryota; Metazoa; Chordata; Mammalia; Carnivora; Mustelidae. The record is from Rfam by way of RNAcentral.